UUUCCGUAGGUGAACCUGCGGAAGGAUCAUUAAAAAAUGAGACCUUGUUUAAGGGUCUAUUAAUAAUCCUACCCUUUGUGAAUUUGUGUUUGAAUUUUUUCUAAUUAUUGAUGUCUUUCCCUGUUUUGAUGGAGCUGUAAUAGCAAAGUCAAUCAGAAUGCACGGAUAUUGGAAAAACCUUUUUUUAAAAUUAAACAUUUUGUAUUCAUUUGUCUAAAAAUUAUUUUUAUAAUAUAAAAACAACUUUUGACAAUGGAUCUCUUGGUUCUCGCAACGAUGAAGAACGCAGCAAAAUGCGAUAAGUAAUGUGAAUUGCAGAAUACGUGAAUCAUCGAAUCUUCGAACGCAUAUUGCACUUUUUUGGUUUACCAAAAAAGUAUGUCUGUUUGAGUAUCAGUAAAGUAUUCUCAUAAAAACUUUUUGUUUUUAUGGUUAUGAGUGUUUUACAACGAUAAACAAGUUGUUUCACUUUAAAUUCUUUGUCUUUUAAAAAAUCAUUUAAAAACUGAUUUUUUUUUAAAAUUGGAUAAAAUUUUCCCGUAAAAAGGAAUAACCUAAACAAUUUUAAGAAUGAAUUAGUUUGAUUUUUUAAAAAAAGACCAAAAGGAAAAAAAGUAAAAAUUAACUUGAUCUCAAAUCAGAUAAGAGUACCCGCUGAACUUAAGCAUAUCAAUAAGCGGAGGAAAAGAAACUAACUAGGAUUCCCUCAGUAACGGCGAGUGAAGCGGGAAGAGCUCAAAUUUGAAAUCUUCAAGGUUCUACCUUGACGAAUUGUAGUUUAAAGAAGUGUUUUCUGUUGGAGUUUUGGUAAAAGUUCUUUGGAAUAGGACAUCAUAGAGGGUGAGAAUCCCGUAUUUGACCAUUAUUUCCAACUUUGUGAUACACAUUCAAAGAGUCGGAUUGUUUGGGAAUGCAGUCCAAAAUGGGUGGUAAAUUUCAUCUAAAGCUAAAUACUGGCGAGAGACCGAUAGCGAACAAGUACGGUGAGGGAAAGAUGAAAAGAACUUUGAAAAGAGAGUUAAACAGUACGUGAAAUUGUCAAAAGGGAAGCGUUUGACACCAGUGUUGUUUUCUCGAAAAUCAAUUAAAAAUGGUGGGAUGUUGUGUUGUAUUGACUUUAUCAGCUUUCUGCACUUUUUUUCCUAUCUUUUUUAAUGCACUUUUCGUUUAACAAGUCAACAUCAAUUUCUUUUGUUGUAAAAGAGUCAUUGGAAGGUGGCUUUCUUUUCGGAGAAAGUGUUUAUAGCCUUUGGCUUCUGCAAUCGGAGAGAUUGAGGUCUGCAGCGUAGAUCCUUCGGGGUUAGAUACAUUUGUGCUAAGUUAUAGCCUUUCAUAGACAACUUGUUGACUAUGAUCAGUCAUGU
RNAcentral lists this unclassified non-coding RNA (1364 nucleotides) under uncultured Neocallimastigales. RNAcentral describes it as "partial contains small subunit ribosomal RNA, internal transcribed spacer 1, 5.8S ribosomal RNA, internal transcribed spacer 2, and large subunit ribosomal RNA". The stretch from base 628 to 1364 matches the Rfam family "Eukaryotic large subunit ribosomal RNA", at positions 1 to 628 of the family's 3401-position model. The record is from RNAcentral. Lineage: Eukaryota; Fungi; Neocallimastigomycota; Neocallimastigomycetes; Neocallimastigales.